Molecule: ribosomal RNA, 455 nt
Filed under: uncultured bacterium
Lineage: Bacteria
Description: bacterial SSU rRNA
Rfam family: Bacterial small subunit ribosomal RNA
Source: RNAcentral
UACGGGAGGCAGCAGUGGGGAAUAUUGCACAAUGGGCGAAAGCCUGAUGCAGCUAUGCCGCGUGUAUGAAGAAGGCCUUAGGGUUGUAAAGUACUUUCAUCGGGGAGGAAAAACAAAACUAAUAAUUUUAUUUCUUGACGUUACCCGAAAAAGAAGCACCGGCUAACUCCGUGCCAGCAGCCGCGGUAAUACGGAGGGUGCUAGCGUUAAUCAGAAUUACUGGGCGUAAAGAGCACGUAGGUGGUUUUUUUAAGUCAGAUGUGAAAUCCCUGGGCUUAACCUGGAACUGCAUUUUGAAACUGAAAUACUAGAGUAUCGUAGAGGGAGGUAGAAUUCUAGGUGUAGCGGUGAAAUGCGUAGAUAUCUGGAGGAAUACCUGUGGCGAAAGCGGCCUCCUAAACGAAUACUGACACUGAGGUGCGAAAGCGUGGGGAGCAAACAGGGAUUAGAUUACC